This is a long non-coding RNA of Triticum dicoccoides, 760 nucleotides long. RefSeq lists it as uncharacterized. The record is from RefSeq and is a predicted model, not a curated record. Lineage: Eukaryota; Viridiplantae; Streptophyta; Magnoliopsida; Poales; Poaceae. The transcript has 2 exons.
AGCUGAUUCAAACUGCAGUUCCACAUCCGUCGAGUAACAACUGCAGCCGCCGAUCCACCCAGCCGGAGAAUGGAACGGCUCGUCUGCUCCGGCACGGCGGCGGCGCAGGUACGAGCCGCAACCCAAAACCUGUUUCGACCCAGCGAUUUCGUCGAACACCCGAGGUGCACUCUGUUCUCCUUGCCCCCUUCGUUUUCGUUCACGCCCCAUGACUCUUGCUUCUGAAACAGAUUGGAGCCGAGGUCGCCGCUGACCGCGGGGAUGAGGGGAACGCGGCCGCCGCCAUGGGGGCCCUGGAGUUGGGAUCGCGUGCUCGCCUCUGCCCCGAAUCGAUCCACUUUGCUGCUCCUGCGACCUCUCGUUGGUGUGACUAUCCAAACGGCGAAACGGUUCAAGGGUACUAUUGACCUGCUGGGCCAUUCUGAAAAAGAUUCAGAGCCAACACGCUUGUAGCGAAGAUUCACGGUGAAGACUCAUAUAAGGUAGACUGCAGAACUUUAGUUCUGCCUUCUCUGGUACCAGCGAGGCAGGCCGGACCGAUGCCCAGAAAGAUGAUAUAUCAUUACUGUUUUUGCCUGAGAUCUGCAUAGAAGCUUUCCUGGCCAUGUGGUAAAAGGAGAUGUUAUUGGAGCACCACUCGGGAAAUACUUUGUUUCAGUACACGGUUUUGUGAAAAAUACAGUCCCAGACCUGUAUGUUUCCUGAGAGUACAAAGCUGCUCUGGGCUUAUAUUUAUUGACUUGAGAAGGAUUCUUAUUGA